AAAUUUUUUAUUCAAUAAUGAUUUUAAAUUGCAAAUUUAAAGGUAACUUUUUAGUUAAAAAUU
This 63-nucleotide transfer RNA is filed under the name Euphyllura phillyreae. Its description in RNAcentral is "tRNA-Cys". Lineage: Eukaryota; Metazoa; Arthropoda; Insecta; Hemiptera; Liviidae. The record is from RNAcentral.